Non-coding RNA from Deltaproteobacteria bacterium RBG_16_48_10, 80 nucleotides. NCBI's taxonomy places the organism in Bacteria, Deltaproteobacteria. The record is from Rfam.
GCCGAUAAAGCCAAACCACGAGUAAUCGUGGGACGGAAAGCCACGGGUCCCAAAUCACCGGGAUAGCCGGGUUGCCGAAG